RNAcentral lists this ribosomal RNA (273 nucleotides) under uncultured bacterium. RNAcentral's name for it is "partial 16S ribosomal RNA". It matches the Rfam family "Bacterial small subunit ribosomal RNA", at positions 524 to 806 of the family's 1533-position model. The record is from RNAcentral.
UACAGAGGUCUCAAGCGUUGUUCGGAUUCAUUGGGCGUAAAGGGUGCGUAGGCGGCGCGGUAAGUCGGGUGUGAAAUCUCGGAGCUUAACUCCGAAACUGCAUUCGAUACUGCCGUGCUUGAGGACUGGAGAGGAGACUGGAAUUUACGGUGUAGCGGUGAAAUGCGUAGAUAUCGUAAGGAGACCAGUGGCGAAGGCGGGUCUCUGGACAGUUCCUGACGCUGAGGCACGAAGGCAGGGAGCAAACGGGAUUAGAACCGGUACCGCAGACCA